UUUACUGAGAACAGGCCUUUUGCAGCCUGAAAAAGUUCUGGAAAAGGAAAGGAACUAAGCUGAUGUGGAAAAAUGUACGGCACAGAACACCUGAGGGGAAAAAGGGUGUGUGUGGAAGAAAGAACAUGAGGCAGGAAACAAACUGAGGACCCCUUUCCAUUGCAAGUCCAUCCUGUUUUGCAACAGAGAAAAAAGUUCCAUCCAGUGGUUUAUUUUGUUUUCUGGCUAAAGUUUGACCUGGGGGAGAGGAGCAGCUUACAUAUAUGGGGCUCAACUUCAAAAUCUCCCUGCAAAUCCUGAGUUUGG
This is a long non-coding RNA of Sphaerodactylus townsendi, 306 nucleotides long. RefSeq lists it as uncharacterized. The record is from RefSeq and is a predicted model, not a curated record. NCBI's taxonomy places the organism in Eukaryota, Metazoa, Chordata, Lepidosauria, Squamata, Sphaerodactylidae. The transcript has 3 exons.